Molecule: ribosomal RNA, 253 nt
Filed under: uncultured bacterium
Lineage: Bacteria
Description: partial 16S ribosomal RNA
Rfam family: Bacterial small subunit ribosomal RNA
Source: RNAcentral
GACGUAGGGCGCGAGCGUUGUCCGGAUUUAUUGGGCGUAAAGAGCUCGUAGGCGGCUUGUCGCGUCGACUGUGAAAACCCGCGGCUCAACUGCGGGCCUGCAGCCGAUACGGGCAGGCUAGAGUUCGGUAGGGGAGACUGGAAUUCCUGGUGUAGCGGUGAAAUGCGCAGAUAUCAGGAGGAACACCUGCGGCGAAGGCGGGUUGCUGGGCUGACACUGACGCUGAGGCGCGAAAGCUAGGGGAGCGAACGGG